UAAGGAAUAUUGGUCAAUGGACGCAAGUCUGAACCAGCCAUGCCGCGUGGAGGAUUAAGGCCCUCUGGGUUGUAAACUCCUUUUAUCUGGGAAGAAAUGUACUUUCUCUUGAGUACUUGACGGUACCAGAGGAAUAAGCACCGGCUAACUCCGUGCCAGCAGCCGCGGUAAUACGGAGGGUGCAAGCGUUAUCCGGAUUCACUGGGUUUAAAGGGUGCGUAGGUGGGCAGGUAAGUCAGUGGUGAAAUCUCCGGGCUUAACCCGGAAACUGCCGUUGAUACUAUUUGUCUUGAAUAUUGUGGAGGUAAGCGGAAUAUGUCAUGUAGCGGUGAAAUGCUUAGAUAUGACAUAGAACACCAAUUGCGAAGGCAGCUUACUACACAAUCAUUGACGCUGAGGCACGAAAGCGUGGGGAUCAAACA
Molecule: ribosomal RNA, 422 nt
Filed under: uncultured bacterium
Lineage: Bacteria
Description: bacterial SSU rRNA
Rfam family: Bacterial small subunit ribosomal RNA
Source: RNAcentral